GCUGAUUCUAGCAGACGGGUUUGCUAGUGAGCUUGACUGAAGCUUUUAAUUGUUGUGCUGGCAAUUUAAAAAACUAAUUAGCAGCAGCCUCACCCCCUUAAGAAGGAAACAGGCCUUGCCAAGGAAAACGUGGUGAAGACACCAGGCUUCUACUCCGAAGCGGAAGCGCAGGUCAUGUGAUGCUGCUGAACAAAGCGGCUGGAGUCAGGAGAGCUGGAGAGGAUUCGCGGGGUCAGUGGAGGCCAGCAGGUGGACGACGGAGCUCCCCGCUCGGACCCUGCUUCUCAGAAAGACCUCACCUGGCUAAGGCAAUUUUCUCUGUGUCCAUCCGCUGUAUUUCCCGGACAGCGGAAAUCUCACAAAUGGAUAAGAGGUGGCCUCUGCAGUGGG
Molecule: long non-coding RNA, 390 nt
Filed under: Fukomys damarensis (Damara mole-rat)
Lineage: Eukaryota; Metazoa; Chordata; Mammalia; Rodentia; Bathyergidae
Description: lncRNA (ENSFDAG00000031617.1)
Source: RNAcentral